This 250-nucleotide unclassified non-coding RNA is filed under the name plant metagenome. RNAcentral's name for it is "partial contains small subunit ribosomal RNA, internal transcribed spacer 1, and 5.8S ribosomal RNA". The record is from RNAcentral.
GUAGGUGAACCUGCGGAAGGAUCAUUACCGAGAUUGUGGGGUACCUUCGGGGCCCCGAACCUCCAUCCCGUGUGGUACGACGACACCGAUUGCCUCGGCGGGUAACCCCGCCGGCAGCCCCCCCUAACCUCGCUAUUUUCGUGUCGUCUGAGUGAAUGUGAUAAUUGUCAAAACUUUCAACAACGGAUCUCUUGGUUCUGGCAUCGAUGAAGAACGCAGCAUCUGACUGACUACGUGGUUACGUAUCUCG